UAAAACGUAGGAGGCAAGCGUUAUCCGGAGUUACUGGGCGUAAAGCGCAUGUAGGCGGUUGAGCAAGUGGCGUGUGAAAGCUCCCGGCUAAACUGGGAGAGGACACGUCAGACUGCUCGGCUAGAGGGUGAUAGAGGGGCGCAGAAUUCGGGGUGUAGCGGUGAAAUGUGUAGAGAUCCCGAGGAAUACCAGUGGUGAAGACGGCGCCCUGGGUCACAACUGACGCUGAGAUGCGAAAGCGUGGGGAGCGAACGGGAUUAGAGACCCCGGUAGUCCACGCCGUAAACGAUGCGAACUAGGUGUUCACUGCCUUCGGGCAGGGAGUGCCGAAGCCAACGCGCUAAGUUCGCCGCCUGGGGAGUACGGUCGCAAGGCUA
Molecule: ribosomal RNA, 377 nt
Filed under: uncultured bacterium
Lineage: Bacteria
Description: bacterial SSU rRNA
Rfam family: Bacterial small subunit ribosomal RNA
Source: RNAcentral